Molecule: ribosomal RNA, 474 nt
Filed under: Peptostreptococcus stomatis
Lineage: Bacteria; Bacillati; Bacillota; Clostridia; Peptostreptococcales; Peptostreptococcaceae
Description: bacterial SSU rRNA
Rfam family: Bacterial small subunit ribosomal RNA
Source: RNAcentral
GAUGAACGCUGGCGGCGUGCCUAACACAUGCAAGUCGAGCGAGGGUUUGCUCAGUAUUGAGUAUUCUAAGUCUAGAAUGUUCAAUUCUGAGCAAAACCAAGCGGCGGACGGGUGAGUAACGCGUGGGUAACCUGCCCUAUACACACGGAUAACAUACUGAAAAGUUUACUAAUACAUGAUAAUAUAUAUUUGCGGCAUCGCAGAUAUAUCAAAGUGUUAGCGGUAUAGGAUGGACCCGCGUCUGAUUAGCUAGUUGGUGAGAUAACUGCCCACCAAGGCGACGAUCAGUAGCCGACCUGAGAGGGUGAUCGGCCACAUUGGAACUGAGACACGGUCCAAACUCCUACGGGAGGCAGCAGUGGGGAAUAUUGCACAAUGGGCGAAAGCCUGAUGCAGCAACGCCGCGUGAACGAUGAAGGUCUUCGGAUCGUAAAGUUCUGUUGCAGGGGAAGAUAAUGACGGUACCCUGUGAGG